UGGGGAAUAUUGGACAAUGGGCGCAAGCCUGAUCCAGCAAUGCCGCGUGUGUGAAGAAGGCCUUCGGGUUGUAAAGCACUUUUAUCAGGAGCGAAACGCUGUCGGCUAAUACCCGGCGGAACUGACGGUACCUAAGGAAUAAGCACCGGCUAACUUCGUGCCAGCAGCCGCGGUAAUACGAAGGGUGCAAGCGUUAAUCGGAAUUACUGGGCGUAAAGCGUGCGUAGGCGGUUUCUUAAGUCUGCUGUGAAAUCCCCGGGCUCAACCUGGGAAUGGCAGUGGAUACUGGGAGGCUAGAGUGUGUCAGAGGGUGGUGGAAUUCCCGGUGUAGCGGUGAAAUGCGCAGAGAUCGGGAGGAACAUCAGUGGCGAAGGCGGCCACCUGGGACAACACUGACGCUGAGGCACGAAAGCGUGGGGAGCAAACAGGAUUAGAUACCCUGGUAGUCCACGCCCUAAACGAUGCGAACUGGAUGUUGGUCUCAACUCGGAGAUCAGUGUCGAAGCUAACGCGUUAAGUUCGCCGCCUGGGGAGUACGGUCGCAAGACUGAAACUCAAAGGAAUUGACGGGGUCAUAGCUGUUUCCUG
RNAcentral lists this ribosomal RNA (588 nucleotides) under uncultured bacterium. RNAcentral describes it as "partial 16S ribosomal RNA". It matches the Rfam family "Bacterial small subunit ribosomal RNA", at positions 355 to 1376 of the family's 1533-position model. The record is from RNAcentral.